GCGGGAAAGAAUGGGAUUGAAGUGUUGACCAGUGGACCUAGGCCCAUUUGUCAAGCCUGUUAUUUGGUUUCUUUACACUUCUCAGAGGCAAUUGCUGUGGGAGGCGUGGUGUAACUGCUGGAAGGAAGACACUCAAUUCUUCUGAGCACCGAAGGCCACACGGAGUCCUGGAUUUUGUGUGGCCUGGCAUCCACGGUGCACCACGUGCUGGCGGGUGACUCAGGACGGGGCAGUUAUCAUGGGACACCUGCCAUAUGCUGGCAAUGAACAUGGUCAGUUCUUCUGAGCCACAAAGGCCCCCGAAGUCCUGGAGUUGGUGUGGCUUAGCAUCCACGGUGCGCCCCCUGCUGGUGGAUGGCUCAGGACGGGGCAGUUGCCAUGGGAGGCCCGCUGCCUGCUGGAAGGAAGAUGGUCAAUUCUUUUGAGCCACAAAGGUCCUGGAGUCAGUGUGGCCUGCUUCCUGGGUGCACCUUGUGCUGGUGGAUUGCUCAGGACGGGACAGUUGCUGUGGGACAGUUGCCGUGGGAGGUCC
Molecule: long non-coding RNA, 532 nt
Organism: Piliocolobus tephrosceles (Ugandan red Colobus)
Lineage: Eukaryota; Metazoa; Chordata; Mammalia; Primates; Cercopithecidae
Source: Ensembl